Long non-coding RNA from Alosa sapidissima (American shad), 289 nucleotides. RefSeq lists it as uncharacterized. The transcript is spliced from 2 exons. Lineage: Eukaryota; Metazoa; Chordata; Actinopteri; Clupeiformes; Clupeidae. The record is from RefSeq and is a predicted model, not a curated record.
CAACACUGUGCUCGAAGUGACAGCGGGCAAGCCACCACGGUAUUCCUUCUCUCCUUCCCGAAACUCAGUAAGUGCGUGUUGUAACCACGCCCUGAAACUACUCCUGGCGGACGUGGGAGUGCACAGAACCAACGAUCCUUGAUUGACCCCUCAUCAGCUCAACAUCAUCACAACACAACGGCCAUGCAUCACAAAUGGAACAUGCACGUUUUCAUAUCAAAGACAUUUAUUUCGAGAAACCCCCAAAACAUAUGAUCUCAAAAUAAAUAGCUUAUUUUUUAAAAUCUAA